Long non-coding RNA from Oncorhynchus tshawytscha (Chinook salmon), 854 nucleotides. Lineage: Eukaryota; Metazoa; Chordata; Actinopteri; Salmoniformes; Salmonidae. The record is from Ensembl.
GUCCUUACACUAUCAUCAAGCUGUAAUAAUAAACCAUUUAGCAAAUACAACAUCUACUGUCUGUACAGAUUUCCAGGUUGCCACCGUGGCAGGUUAUAAUAUAAAAUCAGGUUUCCAGGUUGCCACCGUGGCAGGUUGUAAUAUAAAAUCAGGUUUCCAGGUAGCCACCGUGGCAUGUUAUAAUAUAAAAUCAGGUUUCCAGGUAGCCACCGUGGCAUGUUAUAAUAUAAAAUCAGGUUUCCAGGUAGCCACCGUGGCAUGUUAUAAUAUAAAAUCAGGUUUCCAGGUAGCCACCGUGGCAUGUUAUAAUAUAAAAUCAGGUUUCCAGGUAGCCACCGUGGCAGGUUGUAAUAUAAAAUCAGGUUUCCCAUGUCAAAGAAUGGGGGAUAUGCUGUGAAGUCUAUGAAGAUAGACCCAGUAAGUCACAGUUAUUCAUUGCAAAUCAAUUGAGCAUUUCAGGCACACAAAUUCCAAAUACUGACAUUGAAAAGUUUCACUAAAAAAGUGUACAACUAAAUAUCGCAUAUUUAAAAUUGAGUACAAAGAUAGCAGAAAACACAUUUAAUAAGUAGCAACAUCAACGAAAUGAUAGCAUCAUAACUCAGAACAUUACAUAAAAGGAUAUUAAAUUCACUACCCAUUUUAACAAACAUGUCCCUUUUCAAAAAACUUAAAUGAGAUCACCCUUGAUCAGCUCUGUACAUGGGGAAGCUGUGCUUGCUGUCCAUCCCAGGACCCCUGUCUGCCUAAUGAGAGAGGCCUGAGCUGUCCAUCACAGGACCCCUGUCUGCCUAAUGAGAGAGGCCUGAGCUGUCCAUCCCAGGAUCCCUGUCUGCCUAAUGAGAGAGGCCUGA